Long non-coding RNA from Brassica napus (rape), 2340 nucleotides. RefSeq lists it as uncharacterized. The transcript has 5 exons. NCBI's taxonomy places the organism in Eukaryota, Viridiplantae, Streptophyta, Magnoliopsida, Brassicales, Brassicaceae. The record is from RefSeq and is a predicted model, not a curated record.
UUUUGGAAUAAAAUCUUCUUGAAUGCUUAGUUUCUUUGCAUUCCAAAAAAUGUUCACCAGUUGCAACGUAAAAAUUGAAAGAUCUGGAUGCUGGUUGAGCGUUGCUCGGAAAUUCUUUCAAACCUCUAGUGUUAAGUCCACCAGACGGCCCCAUGUUCUCAUCAUCUCUUAACCAUUACUAAAGAAUUAAGGAAUUCCUAGGCAGAAAAUAUCAAAUGCGUAGGAUCUUUUAUAAUCUUCACACCUAGGAAUUUGGGUGUGUUUGUUGUGAGAGAGUAGGUGUUAACAUACUCUUACGUGGUUCAGUUUCAGUAGUUUGUUUAAUAUCUAUGUCCGUGGAGUUUACCUGUUUUACUCAUCUUGUAAUUAUUAUUGGGUUUUGGCAUUAGCUACUCGUCGCCUGUUCUCACUGAGAACAUUAAAUUUUAUUAUACUGGCCUGAACACAACUCUUACCAACCUCUGUUUUAAAUAGGAAAAAGGAUUUGUAGCUACACAAACUAUUGGCUAAUGUAUCUUAAACCAUCUGAAGUAUUAAAAUGUGUCUCGAGCAACAUAAACUCUUUGAAAUGUAUCUAAUUAACCGUGCGGGGUCUAAUUAGAUCUACUGAAAAUUCCUUGGGGUCAAAUUGAAUUUUUGAAACUUUAACCCAGCCAAGCCCGAAUCAGAAUCCAACUAUUAAAAUAAAUCUGACCCACUGUGUUCCCAAGGAUAAUGAGUCAGGUCGAUUUUAAAAGUUGGAUUCAGAUUCAGGCUUAGGCGUAUUAAAGUUUCAAAAAUUAGAUUUGACCCCAAGGAGUAUUCAGAAGAUCUAAUUAGAUCCCGUAUGGUUAAUUAGAAACAUUUCAAAGAGUUUAUGUUGUUGAAGACACAUUUUAAUCCUUCAGAUGGUUUAUGAUAACCAAUAGUUCGUGUAGUUACAAAUAUUUUUCCUUUUAAAUAUGUUACAAUAUAUAUGUAUCGAUGUCUUGAAUCACAAUCUCCCUAUUUUAUCUUUCUCUUUUAUAUUGUUUAAAAUAGCAUGUGUUUUAAAAUAUCUAUUGUCUUCAUAGCUGCAAAUUAAGUUAAGGUUGGUCAAGGAGGAUGAUAUGCCCCUAUUUAGUGUUCGUAAUGAUUUAGUAACCAAGUAGCAGGCAAAUUGUUGUAAAUAUGCAGUGUGCAGCUAAUAUUCAUCUUAUUUAUAAAUAUGUGACUAGGCUUUGGUAGGAAUAGGACAAUGAAAAUAGUGGUGGAGAAUCAUUUUUCUUUUUAUUUUUCAACUGCAAAAUGUCUAAGACGGUGCAUUUACGAAAAAGUAAAGAAUAAAAGCAAAAUAUGUUAAAGUUCUUAAGAACUCAAGAAUUCAGUGUCUGGAUAUAUUAUUUUGAGCUAAUUUGAUUAAAACCAAAGGAAGAUGGUGAAAUUAGGGAUUUGCCAAUAACAGUAAAAGUUUACUGCGCGUGAGGUCAAUCGCUAUGGUGAAAGACACAACUAUCCUUUAUACUCGACGAAGCCACUUCCAGAACCUAGAUGAUGUACACAUAUAAGCUGACAACAAGAUUUAUGUAGAUUUGGAAAGAUAAUAAAAAGAUUUGGGUUAGAUUUGCUAAACUUAUCUUUGUAAACGAAGAGGUACAGUGUCGUGGAUUGUUCAACCCAAAACCACAUCUUCUUUCAUUGCCGCUGUCAUUUUUUCUUCAUCUUCUUUCUCUGUUCUUUUUUUUUUCUUAUUGAAUAUAAACAAAAAUAAAGUAGAUCAUGAAUUCUAAAUCAUUCAUGAGUUCAUCUGGUUCUUUCUCCAUGAGUUCAUGAGGUGGGGGCUCUGGUGAAGGGGGAACCUCACCUACUGUCAAGAAGUUGAGAGGAUGACCCACUGGUUCUAGCAAAAGGCAAAAGCUUCAAGCUUUAGUUUGUUGUUGCAGGGUCAACAUGAGCCGGAUUCACACCUCAUGUUCUUACCGAGAUACGGCUAUCAAUCAAACCUUGGAAUGUGAAACGACGGUGGGGGAAAUUAACCACAAAGCCAAGAAGGAGGUUGGUGAAUUGGGAUUGGACUCCUAACUAUCCAAACUACGGCUGUCUAACAAUACCAAUCCACCCAUGUUUUCGGAUCGUGGAAGACCAUUAUUGUAAAAUUUAACUUGGGUUCAGUUUGUUUUUGGGAGGCUAAAAGUUUUUGUAACCGUUGAUGGUGGUUGGACAUCAAUUACUGUUGUUUUCUUGGGUUUGGGAAGAUGGUUAUUAGAGAUUUUAGUGUGGUCUGAGAUUGUUUUGCAUGGUUAAACUUUCUUGUAACCGUGUACGUAACAUAUCAACUUAAUAUGUACAAGUUUGGUUGUAUAUAUGUAUUUCAUGUGACAA